This 253-nucleotide ribosomal RNA is filed under the name uncultured bacterium. RNAcentral describes it as "partial 16S ribosomal RNA". It matches the Rfam family "Bacterial small subunit ribosomal RNA", at positions 524 to 776 of the family's 1533-position model. The record is from RNAcentral.
UACAGAGGUCCCAAGCGUUGUUCGGAUUCACUGGGCGUAAAGGGUGCGUAGGUGGUGAUGCAAGUCUGGUGUGAAAUCUCGGAGCUCAACUCCGAAAUUGCACCGGAUACUGCGUGACUCGAGGACUGUAGAGGAGAUCGGAAUUCACGGUGUAGCAGUGAAAUGCAUAGAUAUGACCCGGAACACCGAUUGCGAAGGCAGCCCACUAAGCAACGAUUGACGCUGAGGCACGAAAGCGUGGGGAUCAAACAGG